AAUAUUGCGCAAUGGGGGGAACCCUGACGCAGCAACGCCGCGUGAGUGAAGAAGGCCNNNGGUUCNUCAAACUCUGUCAUUAGNGACNAAGACGUGACGGUACCUAAUGAGGAAGCCCCGGCAAACUACGUGUCAGCAGCCGCGGUAAUACGUAGGGGGCGAGCACUGUCCGGAAUCCCUGGGCGUAAAGGGUGCGUAGGCGGCCUGAUAAGUCAGAUGUGAAAUACCAGGGCUCAACCCUGGGGGUGCAUUUGAAACUGUUGGGCUUGAGUGCAGGAGAGGAAAGUGGAAUUCCUAGUGUAGCGGUGAAAUGCGUAGAGAUUAGGAGGAACACCAGUGGCGAAGGCGACUUUCUGGACUGUAACUGACGCUGAGGCACGAAAGCGUGGGUAGCGAAC
RNAcentral lists this ribosomal RNA (398 nucleotides) under uncultured bacterium. RNAcentral describes it as "partial 16S ribosomal RNA". It matches the Rfam family "Bacterial small subunit ribosomal RNA", at positions 360 to 773 of the family's 1533-position model. The record is from RNAcentral.